GGGGGGGGGGGGGGGGGGGGGGGGGGCGGGGGGGGCGGGGGGGGGGGCGCGGCGGGGGUGGGGUGCUCGAGUGGCGGACGGGUGCGUAACACGUGAGUAACCUGCGCUGGGCUGUGGGAUACCUUCGGGUAGCUGGGGCUAGUACCGGCUCGGGGCUCCUGCUGCAUGGGGGGGGUUGGAACGUUUCGGCGGUUGGGGAUGGACUCGCGGCUUAUCAGCUUGUUGGUGGGGUAGUGGCUUACCAAGGCUUUGACGGGUAGCCGGCCUGAGAGGGUGACCGGCCACAUUGGGACUGAGAUACGGCCCAGACUCCUACGGGAGGCAGCAGUGGGGAAUAUUGCACAAUGGGCGGAAGCCUGAUGCAGCAACGCCGCGUGCGGGAUGACGGCCUUCGGGUUGUAAACCGCUUUCGCCUGUGACGAAGCGUGAGUGACGGUAAUGGGUAAAGAAGCACCGGCUAACUACGUG
This 468-nucleotide ribosomal RNA is filed under the name uncultured bacterium. RNAcentral's name for it is "partial 16S ribosomal RNA". The stretch from base 49 to 468 matches the Rfam family "Bacterial small subunit ribosomal RNA", at positions 39 to 507 of the family's 1533-position model. The record is from RNAcentral.